Molecule: long non-coding RNA, 2465 nt
Organism: Sciurus carolinensis (gray squirrel)
Lineage: Eukaryota; Metazoa; Chordata; Mammalia; Rodentia; Sciuridae
Exons: 3
Source: RefSeq, a predicted model, not a curated record
UUGUUAUUUUAACAAAUGACAAAAUUUUCCCAAAUUCAAAUAUAUUUAUGUAGCAAUUUAAAAUUUGAAAAUGCCACCUUCCAGUCCCAAGUUUUUGCCACAAGGAUCUUUCUGUUACCUCCAUAUCCCUCUAGUAGGGCAGUUUUCUUGAGAAAACUACCCUGGAUAACUGCAGUGUCAGUACCUCCUCUUUGUUCCCUUCACAUGUAUAUUCUAUCCCUUCAUAACUUCUACACUUUAUUAUUAAAGUGCUUCUUUGAUUAUGUUUUCUCUUUGGAUAUAAACUCAGUAGAAACAAGGCCCAAGUUGGUAUUCAUUGUAGUGUAGUUUUAGCACCUGGCUUAUAAAAAACAUAGUAGGAGGAUGUUCUUACUACUUACUACACUACUGUAUCCUCCGAAUAUGGAAUGCCCAGGAGGUAACCAAUAUGUCUUCACUUUACUUAGGCAUACAUAUAACAGACCACAUUGAGGCUGUGUCACUAAUCUUUGAAAGAAUGAUAGGGUUGGAGUUGUGGCUCAGUGGUGCAGCAUGUGCCUGGCAUGUAUGAGGCCCUGGGUUUGAUACUCAGCACCAUGUAUAAAUAAAUAAAAUUUUAAAGAGAUCCAUUUACAGCUGGAAAAAAAAAAUUACAAAAAACAAAAACAAAAAACCCCCCCAAUGAUAGUAGUCUAACUUCCUCACCCCAAUCUAGCCUAUAUAUAGUUUCUAUUUGCAGACUACCUCAAGUACUCAAAUGGGGAACAUCUAAAAUGCCAAAAUUACUUACUUUGACAUGGGCUUAUUGCCACUGUCCUCCUUUGCCUUCCUUCCUUCUUCUACAGGCUUCAGGUUCAACAGUGGAGUCACUUCAGCAUUGCCAUAACCAGCAAAGGUAAUUGCAGCGGUGCCAUUUUCUUCAUCUAUCUCCUCAAUUUCCGCUUCGUAACACCUGUAAAGAUAUCAUGGCUGUAAGCAGUCCCUGAAGAUAGGACAUGACUGUAUUCUAAAUUUUUUUGGUGGCACUGGAGAUCAAACUGAGGUCUUGUGCAUGCUAGGUUUCUCAAUGUUUCCCAGAAUUCCCUAAAACUACUGGGUUCAAGUGAUUUUCCUGCUUCAGCUUUCUGAGAGAUCAAACUACAGGCCUGCAGCACCACCAUGUCAGCGUAGAAAGGAGGAUAUUUUAUAGAUAAAACAACUAAGUCAUUAACUCAACCCUACAUGAGUCUUUCAGGUACUCACUACAAUGUCUACUACAGUGGUUUUUCCCUACAGUAUUUACUGCUCUAGAUUGUGUUAUAUUAAGACAGUUGCACCCAGAGUCUAAAGACUUUUCCAGAAAUAUUAAAAAGACCUGAUAAUAAUGCUGUUUUAAAUUCCACUCCCAAUUCCCUCUCCACCAUUUCCACAUCUUCCCUCCCAUUGCCCAGGAAGCAAGAUACAAUAUACAACAUUGCACAAAAUGUUUUAUUUUCUUCAAAGAAAAAAGAACUGCUUAUAAGUUGGUAGAGGUAGACUGAACAUCUCUUUGAGGCAAGAAAAAAACAGAUACAUUAAGUAGACAAGAGGUUAGUUUACCUUUGUCAUAUCUGCAAUGUAUACUCACAGAACAUGUGAGCAAUUCACUGAAUGGACAGGAGCAAACCACCAGAUUAUUUUUACAUAAGGGUCUCGAAGUAGGAGAAAUUUUCAAAAAAAAAUUUUUUUUUAUUGACUGGAAUCCUGAAAUCCCCAGGUCUGGCUUCUAUGUAUUGAAAGGAUUCUGUUUGAAUUGAAAUUAUCCCAGAUAUUUUCUGUGUUUUUAAAAACAACAUACAACUUCAAGUUUGUCCUAAAUCUAGUAUCUGAAUUUGAAAAUAUUUACUCAUUUUAAUUAUGCCUGGAUAAGUUCUUUCAGAAUCCCAAAUCUAGAUUCUAAUUCAGAAAAGUUUCACUUGUUUUCACUUUUAAUAUCCCCAAAAUUUAAGUUUUAAAGGGUAACAGGAUGGUAAAGGGACAGAUUAAUUAAAUAGGAUGUGGAACCAGUAGAAAGAUCACCUAAUCAAAACACCCUGAAAACUUAAAAAAAAUCAGGUCCAGAAUUUUAAGGAAGUUCUAAAAAUGAAAAGUUACAUACACAGUAUUUACAAAUUACAUAUGGUACUUUUCUUAACCUGUUGUCCUGAGAAACAACAGUUAUUACUAUCAUGGCUUUAUGUUUGUCUUGAAACUCAGUGCAGGUUUAAAAAAUUUUAUACUUACUGAACUCUCCCACAAUAAAUUAAGAUCUCCUUUUACCACAUCAACUAAACUUGACAAAGGUCAAAACUACACUGUAAAACCCAGUCUUUAGUUCAAACACCUAACUAACAUUAAUACCAAAACCAUGUAUCUCUUUGGAUAUCUUUAUGAUGUGUUUUUAUAAGGUGUAACCCACUAGCUACAAAAGAAAAUGUUAUUAAAUGUUUCACUCUCAAUAUUAUGUAAUAAAAAGAAUUUUAAUCUGA